RNAcentral lists this ribosomal RNA (468 nucleotides) under uncultured bacterium. Its description in RNAcentral is "partial 16S ribosomal RNA". It matches the Rfam family "Bacterial small subunit ribosomal RNA", at positions 28 to 507 of the family's 1533-position model. The record is from RNAcentral.
GACGAACGCUGGCGGCGUGCUUAACACAUGCAAGUCGAACGGAAAGGCCCUGCUUUUGUGGGGUGCUCGAGUGGCGAACGGGUGAGUAACACGUGAGUAACCUGCCCUUGACUUUGGGAUAACUUCAGGAAACUGGGGCUAAUACCGGAUAGGAGCUCCUGCUGCAUGGUGGGGGUUGGAAAGUUUCGGCGGUUGGGGAUGGACUCGCGGCUUAUCAGCUUGUUGGUGGGGUAGUGGCUUACCAAGGCUUUGACGGGUAGCCGGCCUGAGAGGGUGACCGGGCACAUUGGGACUGAGAUACGGACCAGAAUGCUACGGGAGGCAGCAGUGGGGAAUAUUGCACAAUGGGCGGAAGCCUGAUGAAGCAACGCCGCGUGCGGGAUGACGGCCUUCGGGUUGUAAACCGCUUUCGCAUGUGACGAAGCGUGAGUGACGGUAAUGGGUAAAGAAGCACCGGCUAACUACGUG